GAUGAAGAACGUAGCGAAAUGCGAUAAGUAAUGCGAAUUGCAGAAUCCGUGAGUCAUCGAAUCUUUGAACGCACAUUGCGCCCCCUGGAAUUCCGGGGGGCAUGCCUGUUCGAGCGUCUCAGGGACGAACCCUCGCGCGGGUGUACGCGCGGUCGUGGCUGCGGUGGCGUGCCCGAGGCGGCGGCCACCGCGCUGGAAUCCAUGGGCGGACGCCUGCCGCGUGGCCGAGCGUGAUAUGACGCAUUGGCGCUCGCACGCGGAGAGGCUGCCAGCCCUGGCCCGUCUGUCGGGCGGGGGAGAGCAAGACACGUGAACUCCUCGAAUCAGGUAGGGAUACCCGCUGAACUUAAGCAUAUCAAUAAGCGGAGGA
Molecule: unclassified non-coding RNA, 370 nt
Filed under: soil metagenome
Description: partial contains 5.8S ribosomal RNA, internal transcribed spacer 2, and large subunit ribosomal RNA
Rfam family: 5.8S ribosomal RNA (bases 1-119)
Source: RNAcentral